AGAGUUGAUCCUGGCUCAGGAUGAACGCUGGCGGCGUGCCUAACACAUGCAAGUCGAACGGGGUUAAGUGAUGUUUCGGAUGGAUCUUAACUUAGUGGCGGACGGGUGAGUAACGCGUGGAUAACCUGCCUCACACAGGGGGAUAGCAGCUGGAAACGGCUGGUAAUACCGCAUAAGACCACGGUGCCGCAUGGCACAGGGGUAAAAGAUUUAUCGGUGUGAGAUGGAUCCGCGUCUGAUUAGCCAGUUGGCGGGGUAACGGCCCACCAAAGCGACGAUCAGUAGCCGGCCUGAGAGGGUGAACGGCCACAUUGGGACUGAGACACGGCCCAAACUCCUACGGGAGGCAGCAGUGGGGAAUAUUGCACAAUGGGCGCAAGCCUGAUGCAGCAAACCGCCGCGUGAGUGAAGAAGUAUUUCGGUAUGUAAAGCCCCAUCGGCAGGGAAGAAAGGCCCGCAAGGGAGAUGACGGUACCUGACUAAGAAGCCCCGGCUAACUACGUGCCAGCCGCGGC
RNAcentral lists this ribosomal RNA (515 nucleotides) under uncultured bacterium. RNAcentral's name for it is "bacterial SSU rRNA". It matches the Rfam family "Bacterial small subunit ribosomal RNA", at positions 8 to 518 of the family's 1533-position model. The record is from RNAcentral.